GAACGUAUGGCUUAGUUGGUUAGAGUGCUUGGGCGGUUGCCAAAGAGGCGCGGGUUCAAAUCCCGCUAAGUUCA
Molecule: transfer RNA, 74 nt
Filed under: Heliconius melpomene (postman butterfly)
Lineage: Eukaryota; Metazoa; Arthropoda; Insecta; Lepidoptera; Nymphalidae
Description: tRNA HMEL014592
Rfam family: tRNA
About the family: Transfer RNA (tRNA) molecules are approximately 80 nucleotides in length. Their secondary structure includes four short double-helical elements and three loops (D, anti-codon, and T loops).
Source: RNAcentral